Molecule: unclassified non-coding RNA, 5139 nt
Filed under: Limulus polyphemus (Atlantic horseshoe crab)
Lineage: Eukaryota; Metazoa; Arthropoda; Merostomata; Xiphosura; Limulidae
Description: gATOR complex protein DEPDC5-like, transcript variant X8
Source: RNAcentral
GUCAGAACUCAUUCUGGUUUUACUUUUACAAAGUCUAGUAUACUGGCGUACGAUAGUCAACAUAUUCAAUACUAGUUUUACUUUCUUGGAUAGGAGGUGAAUGUUUGUGAUAAAAUGCAAGUUAUAAAGAAAACAGAAUGAAGCUUGUCGUACACCAAAAGAACUUCAGCGAGGAUAGUCUUGUUAUCAACCCUAAAGAUUUCCCAACGUUAAAGAAGGGUGAUAUUGUAGAGAUUUAUUUACCAGAGGAUGAAUACAGCCGCUUGCUGUUACAAGUGACAUCAUUCCGUGAAGACUUUCAGCAGAAAGAUGCUAUAAGUGUAGAACAAUCAAUAGCCAACAGCUUUCAGCUUAGAACUUAUGCUGAUGUGAUAGUAAAUCCUGUCAAUCCCAAGAAUGUUGGGUUAGAUUCUUUGGAACUGACAUUCAAGGAUCAGUACUUGGCACGAAGUGAUAUGUGGAGAUUGACACAGUCUUUGGUCAACACAUGUGUGUACCCAAACAAGAAGAUUGAAUUCAGUGGAAUCAGGUGUCAAGUAUAUGAGAUGUGGGCUCAGGGUGAACGAGUUGCGUGUGGAGUUGUAACCAAAGACACAAAAAUUGUUUACCGUUCAGGGAGUAGUAUGGUUUAUCUGUUUAUUCAGAUGAGUUCAGAAAUGUGGGACUUUGAUAUCAAUGGAGAUUUGUAUUUUGAAAAGGCUGUUAAUGGAUUCUUGUCUGAUCUAUUUGCCAAAUGGAAGAAACUGAACUGCAACCAUGAUGUUACAAUUGUGCUUUUUUCAAGAACAUUUUAUGAAGCUCAUAGCAUUGAUGAAUUCCCUAAUUACAUGCGAGAGUGUCUACAGCAAGAUUACAAAGGAAGAUUCUAUGAGGAUUUCUAUAGAGUUGCUGUCCAGAAUGAACGGUAUGAUGAUUGGAAUUCCACAUUGAUUCUUUUAAAGAAGUUGUUCAACCAGUAUCAACAGAUGGUGCUUGAAUACCACCAAAGGGAAGGAGUGAAAAUACCUCAUGCAGUGAACUCUACCUCUUCACAAGGCAACUUUCUGGAAGUGCUAAAUAUGUCCUUGAAUGUUUUUGAAAAACAUUAUGUGGACCGCAGUUUUGACCGGACAGGACAACUAUCAGUUGUAAUAACACCAGGAGUUGGAGUUUUUGAAGUUAAUCGAGACCUUACUAACAUUACAAAACAGAGAAUUAUUGACAAUGGUAUUGGAAGUGAUCUUGUGUGUCUUGGAGAACAGCCACUUCAUGCUGUGCCAUUGUUUAAGUUUCAUAACAAACAACGGCCUCGUAAUUCACUAUCGGCUGUAGAUGACUACAACAUGCCACACUGGAUUAAUUUGAGCUUCUAUUCUUCAACAAAGCAGAUCAGCUAUUCGACAUUCACACCUAGGAUCAAACUUCCUACUCCUCUUCCCAAGGCAGCAAGAGAGAAAACAUUACAAAAUGCUCUGUCAUCCACCCGUGCUCGUCAUGUCAGUCAGCCAGACUCCACAUUUCCAACUUUGUUUGACUAUGAUGAAUAUGAUGAUCAAGUUUUUAAGCUACCAUCUUAUUCUCAAAAUGCAAGUAGGGUUACACACAGUCUACAGAGGGUUCCUGGAAAGAAAAAAGGGAACCGUUCAGUAAAGAACCCUUCUUCAAGACUUGGUAGUGAGGAACCAACAUCUUGUUUUCUCAGUUCUGAACCACCACCAACCACUUCUUUGUUCUCAUCAUCUGCCAUUUUAAUUCCUACACUUGACUCUUCAAGUCUGUCUUCUUCGUAUGGAGCCCAAAAUGCAGAUGUUCCAGACUUAGGCCAUGCUCCUCAUCGACUUCCUUCUAGGGAUGAUAUUGAAACGGAAUUUUCACCUCCAGUGAGGGCAAUUGUAGGAAGUGCUGGGUCAUCCAAAGGUCAUCAUUUGAACAAACAAGUGAUGAACCGCAAACCUAGGGCUUUGGUUAAUCCAUUUGACCCAUCUCAUGUCACAAUCAAGCUUACAUCCAAUCGAAGGCGCUGGACACAUGUGUUUCCACAAGGUCCAACUGGUGUCUUUAUGCAGCAGCAUCAUUACCAAGCUGUACCUCAAAAUACAGCAGCAACAAUGAUGCCUCCCACAGUGGAUGAUGACAUUAUUUUCAGCCAGGAUCAGCUAAGGUUGGCAGCCCUACACAGAGAUCCUCAGUGGAAUAAAACUCUACAAGGACACCAUCACGUAAUAGAAGAAUCAGACAGAAGGAGAGUGUCAACAAAAGCAGCUAGUCAACUUUGUAGUGGAGAAAUUAAUUUAUCCAAUAGUGGUGGAAGUCUCGCAACAUUUGAAGGUAGAUUUCGUACCUCUGGUAUAAGAACAUCAACUUAUGUGUCAUCAGAUUCUCACAUUGACAGAAACUUGACUUUAUUAUGGGGUGCCACAGGAGAGCAGGAGUGGACACCAGCUUUGACCACUGGUGUUGACUGGAAAUCACUUGCCAUUCCAGCUUGCCUGCCCAUUACAACUGAUUAUUUUCCAGAUAAACGAAGUUUGCAGUAUGAUUUUGUUGUUUCUGACUAUUUUCUUCAACCAGAAGAUAUUAGCUCAGAGCUGACUCUCAGAAGAUGUUACAGAGGGGAGGAGGAUACCAAACAUCAUUGUCCAAUAACAGCAGCUCAAGUUUAUAGGGAACUCAUUAGCCAAAGACUGCAACAGGGUUUCCAAGUUAUUGUAAUGCCAAUACACCAUCCUUCAUCCUACCAUGCACAGAGUAAUUUAAGUCCUCAGUUUACUUCAUCACUUGUUUGUGCUAGAGUAAAGAACGACCAAACCGAACAUGAUGAAUGCUUGAUGAGUAUUGGGAGAAUAUUUCACAAGAUGACAUUAGAUGGUCCAACCAUCACUGUCACUCAGUACAGGCCAAGACACCCUUGUUCAACCCGUAAGAGCCAUUACUGCUAUCGAUUCCAAGCACCUGACAAUGACACUUAUGGAGUUUCGUGGGUAGACUUUGCUAGUGAAAAAUUGGAAACUUACAACUGGAACUACCUGGACCAUUACAUAUGUUUGAGAGGAGAAGAUGAGUAUAAACUUAAAGAGGGUCUGAAGCAUUGGAGAUUGAGAUUGUUCUUGCUGCCAAAUGUUAACUGCACCACCAAGAGCAUUACUGAUGACAGUUUUUCAUGUGAUUCAUUCAGUGACCUUAGUAGAGAAGAGGUUCUGCAACAGCAAGAAGGUUUUCUAAAAUUUUUAGAAGUACUUAAUCGAAUUCGUCGACCAGUUUAUUCUCGUAAGUCAAAGAGGUUACAGACACAUGCUCGACGUCUCAGUUUAGGACACUCAAUCUCAUUUAAUACUCAAGUUUCCCAGAAUUCUGUUAGUGGAGGAACAUCAAAUAAUAGUGGCCCCUCUUUCAGAGAGCGAGUGGGCAGCAACCGCAUACAUGAUCGACCACGAAAUGGUUCAAAGGGUGUAGAACGUGGAAGAGUAUCACCUGCUUCAGAAGCUGACAACAAAUUAGGAGGGUCAAACACAUCAUUAGAAGGAACUUCUGAAGGAGUAGAUUCUACAGAUGAAGCGGCUCAAGCAGAUUUAAAACCUUUAAAUGCAAAUUCACCUCAUGCUGAAAUAAUUGAAGCCAUGAAACAUCAAGUGAAUGGUUUGAGUUUCCUCAAUAAGCAGUCUGGUCUACCACCAUAUUCCUUUAUCAGUGGAGAGGCAGUAUUAUGGGUGAUAGAAAACAUAGAGGGCAUUACGUCCCAAGUUCAGGCCAUACAUUUUCUUCUGAAUCUUCAACAAGAAGGCCUUAUUUGUCAUGCUUCAGGAGUUACAACCAUACAAUUUAUUCAUGGUUUUUAUUUGUACUAUUUGGUAUGUCAAGAAAAAGAUCAAACCAAAGUGUCAAACUCUGAACUUCAAGAGGGAGAUAUUCGAUUAUUUCGUGAAGAAUGGCUUGAAGUAGAAUUACUACCAGUUUCUGAGUCGCCACAACAAAUAAUUACUCUUCCAUGGACAGAAAGAGAACAGCCAACCGAUGAAUGGCACAUAACUCAACAUGUAGAGAAAAAAAUUGAGUUUAAGGCCACAAACAUUGACAUUGAUGUUGGUAAGAAAAGUGGUCGAGAAGAAUGGGGACACUUACAUUAUCAUUCUAUCUUCUGUCCAUCUGAGGCCUUUGAAAUCCUUGUCGAGUGGUUGGUUGCAACAGGCAGCAUAUUAGCAGAUCUGGUACAAGGAUGGGCAAGAAAAGCAGUAUCUUAUGGGUAUCAUCUUGUUCCCGUUCCAAGUGAUCCAUUUGCCUUACCAUUUUCCUCAAACUCUGAUCCUUUACGAGGACCCAUCUUCAUUCCUUUUAAUCUUGAUUGCCUCCCUGAUACUGAUUCGCAGUUAUUAGGAGGUGGAGCACUUGAAUUGUUUCAAGAACACAUUUUGAGACGAUUUGGGUUUUUGAUUCAUCGUGACCCUGCAAGUCAAAACUAUUAUGUACACGUAAGCGGUAGUGCUUUUGUUAUGAUUCCUAAUCAAAUUCCAUCAGUGUCUGGUUGUAUUAACAUUAAAAAACGAACACAGAAAUACCAACAACCCAUUUGUAGCCCACAUGAAGAAUAUAUUACAAGGCACUUUAGUGGGAAGAAGAGUCGAUCAUAUGAUGCCAUUUCUAGCCACGAGGCAAAGAUUGGAUUUCUUUGGUCAUACAAUUACAUGGUGACCAAACGUUGGAAGACACAAAACACUGGAGAUGAGCACUUCAUGAAAACACUUAUGAAUGAUUUUCAUGCAUUUUGUAACAAUGAGAAUGGACGACUUCAAGACUGUUGGGAGAACUAUUGGAUGACAGGAUGUCAACAUGUGUUGGGUUUAGAAUAAAGGAAUGGGUAUAUCAUUCUGGCAAGAAAAUAAAGUGAUGCUCCUUAGAGAUGUACAGAAAUUUCGAACUUCCUAGUUUCUCCAAGUGAAACUGACGCAAUCACUGGAUGCACUCCCAUGGACAGUUCAUCAUCACUAUGCCAUGCAACACUAUCUUUACCAUUUCUAUAUAAAUUUAAGAGAACAGAAUUGAAACUGACUUUUUCUUUCUGAAUUUCAUUCAAAUGCUGUUCAACUUUUAGCUGUAUUUCUUUCAGAUCAUCGGGCCACUGUAAAUAAAAAACAAGGUCAGUAAUAAACAAAAUUUGUAUUAACA